AAUGCAAGUCGAGCGAAUGAUGAGGAAGCUUGCUUCCUCUGAUUUAGCGGCGGACGGGUGAGUAACACGUGGGCAACCUACCUUAUAGUUUGGGAUAACUCCGGGAAACCGGGGCUAAUACCAAAUAAUCUCUUUUACUUCAUGGUGAAAGACUGAAAGACGGCAUCUCGCUGGCUGCUAUAGGAUGGGCCCGCGGCGCAUUAGCUAGUUGGUGAGGUAACGGCUCACCAAGGCGACGAUGCGUAGCCGACCUGAGAGGGUGAUCGGCCACACUGGGACUGAGACACGGCCCAGACUCCUACGGGAGGCAGCAGUAGGGAAUCUUCCACAAUGGGCGAAAGCCUGAUGGAGCAACGCCGCGUGAGUGAAGAAGGAUUUCGGUUCGUAAAACUCUGUUGUAAGGGAAGACACAAGUACAGUAGUAACUGGCGUGUACC
This 437-nucleotide ribosomal RNA is filed under the name Bacillus sp. 076-2.2-LH-A-04. Its description in RNAcentral is "bacterial SSU rRNA". It matches the Rfam family "Bacterial small subunit ribosomal RNA", at positions 54 to 479 of the family's 1533-position model. Lineage: Bacteria; Bacillati; Bacillota; Bacilli; Caryophanales; Bacillaceae. The record is from RNAcentral.